Long non-coding RNA from Cydia fagiglandana, 2364 nucleotides. RefSeq lists it as uncharacterized. The transcript has 2 exons. Lineage: Eukaryota; Metazoa; Arthropoda; Insecta; Lepidoptera; Tortricidae. The record is from RefSeq and is a predicted model, not a curated record.
ACGAGUUCUCUUCAGCUACAUCACUAAUGACACUGACAAGUAACAGCCUUUGCAUGGCAAACGAUACACAAUCAAAUAUAACGUGUUUUAUGUCCGCAUUUUCUUUAAAACAAUAUGUACACUUAUCAUCAGUAAUGAUAUUCUUCCUUUUAAGAUGUGCCGGGACCAAACAAUGACCAAAUCGCAGACGGUUUAUGCAUGUCAUGAAUUUCCUGGUGGUGUAUUUAAAGGUAUAAUACCACGGUGUUGUUGGUAAGUCGUUUUGUAUGCUUGCAUACCAUCUUCCUAUAUCCAGUAAUUCUGUGUUAUGUCUCCAAUAUUCUUUCCAUAUUCCUUUAGUAAUACUUUUGAAGUAAUGGUAAUAGUCAGUAAAUGGCACUUUAAAAGAUUCUGUGAGGUCCAGGUCGUGGUCCCGACGAGUCGCCUGAUCCACAACCUCGUUUCCUGUUAUGCCACUGUGGGAGGGCACCCAUAAAAAUUCUACAUUUUUCUGUAACUUACAUAGCCUAUCCUUAAUCUGACAUAUUAUAUAAUUUUGCUUAUAUUCUAACGAACUAUUACAAUCAGAAUCAGAAUCAGAAAUCGUUUAUUGCCUGUUAGUGUUUACAUCUUUCAGUUCCCGCAGGAUUGUGUCAGCUAACUUAUGUCUAAAAAGAUCUGUGUAAGCUGAAGGUGUCAUGUCACAAGUGAUGAGUUGAAGAUGUUAAUAUUUUGUGCGUCAUAUGUUACAAUUUUAUAUUUUAUUUUAUUCUAAGAGGACGAGGAGCCGCCGCCCCGGGAGGCCAACGUCUCAUGUCUUUAUUAAUAGUAUACUCUAUUUCACCGAUUCUUUUGUUUUUUAGCAGUGGGUUAAAUUCUCCGUGCGCCAGGUAAGCGUCUCCAGGUGUGUCCAGGUCUUCUAUUCCCAGCGAUGCGAUUUUGGCCAGCAUUUUGUAAUUCAGGUCGGCGGCUCGGAGGUGCCAUGCUUCUAGAUCUGUCAUUUCCCAGAGCGUCUCUGUGGGUAGACGUCUAGGGAAUUGACCUGCACUCUUCAGCGCCAUUCUAUAUUGCCUCUCGAUUUUUUGGAGGUUCGAGUUACUGUAUCUGGAUAAUAACUGUACCACUCCAUAGUCCAUGAUGGGAAGGAUGCAGGCUUGAAUUACGGCUAGUUUGACCUCAAGAUCUGUCUUGGCGUGGAAGCCGAUGAUGGAUCCCAGUACUACAAUUGCUAUUGAUUUUGAUACAUUUUGUCACUUUCAUUUGAGGGUCAUAAUAUGCAGCUUUAACAUGGUCAUUUUUGGAGCCAUCAGUAUACAUAAUAUAGUAGUCAUGUUUAUCAUUUAUAAAUUCAAGAAAGUCAAAUUUGUUUUUAAUCAAGUCUAAGUGAGAUUUAACAUUAAAAUAACUUAGUAUAGUAUUAUAUGAGUACUUAUAAAUUGGCCACUGGUUAUUUAUGUACAUAUUUUUUGUCAAAUUUUUGGUGUUCAUCAUAAUUAUGGAUAUUUCAGGCAAAGAACCUGUAAUGAGAGUAUUAGCCGAGAUGUUAGCUGACUGAGCAAUUUCUACUGGGUAUAAGACUUUAUCCAAGACAACAAGAUUCUCACACGACAACUCCUUUAAACAAAAUCUCUCAGCCAGCUGUAAACGACGCAAGGACAAUGGAGGUCGGACUUCAUAUAUGGAUGGCUUCACAUUUACAUCAACCAGAGUCGGAUAGUGGUAACUACCCAUUGGGUCAUCAUGAACUCGCCAUUCACAAAGGGGAGCUAUUGUGGGACUGACAAGAGCUAUAUCAAUUGCAGAUGGAUUCCUAUUUGGAUAUUGCACUGUUGUUGGACUGCCAUCAUUUAAAAUACACAAAUCAAAUUCAUCAAUAAUAUUGUAUAAACUAUUGCCUCUACUGUUAUUUGAUUGACAGCCAAAUAAUAUGUGAUGAGCGUUAAAAUCACCCAUGAUUAGACAUGGCUUGGGGGUUUCAAGCAACAGCUUUUUCAUUUUACGAACAUCAAACCUGCUACCAUUGGGUGGACAAUAAACACAAAGAAUGUAUAAUUUACCAACUGAUGUUUCAAUAGCUACACAGAUAUUCUGAAUCGAUUCAUAAAAAGUUGUGUUUAUGAUAUUAUAUUGUAAGUUUUGUUUAAUAAGUAUACCUACUCCAUUUUUGGCAUUUUUUGAAAUUUUAUGUAUAAAGUUGUACGGGGCAAAGUUAGGAAUUGUACUUGUACUUUUGAGCCAUGUUUCAUUUAAUAAACAAAUGUCUAUCUGUUGCUCUGCAAGAAAUGUAUUUAAUAGGGCUUUCUUAUGUAACAAACUUUGAAUGUUAAACUGUGCUAGAUGCAAAAAAGUGUCCAUGAUUUAGUUUAAUAAAUUUGUUUUGAGUAU